RNAcentral lists this ribosomal RNA (253 nucleotides) under uncultured bacterium. RNAcentral's name for it is "partial 16S ribosomal RNA". It matches the Rfam family "Bacterial small subunit ribosomal RNA", at positions 524 to 776 of the family's 1533-position model. The record is from RNAcentral.
UACCGAGGGUGCGAGCGUUAAUCGGAAUUACUGGGCGUAAAGCGCGCGUAGGCGGCUUUGCAAGUCGAGUGUGAAAUCCCCAGGCUUAACCUGGGAACUGCAUUCGAGACUGCAUAGCUAGAGUAUGGGAGAGGGAAGUGGAAUUUCAGGUGUAGCGGUGAAAUGCGUAGAUAUCUGAAGGAACAUCAGUGGCGAAAGCGACUUCCUGGACCAAUACUGACGCUCAUGUGCGAAAGCGUGGGGAGCAAACAGG